UGCAGAUGUAGCUCAGUGGUAGAGAGCUUGCCUAGCAUGGAGAAGGCCUUGGAGUUUAACUCCCAACACUGCAA
Molecule: transfer RNA, 74 nt
Filed under: Marmota monax (woodchuck)
Lineage: Eukaryota; Metazoa; Chordata; Mammalia; Rodentia; Sciuridae
Description: tRNA.Ala
Source: RNAcentral